CCUACGGGAGGCAGCAGUGAGGAAUAUUGGUCAAUGGGCGUAAGCCUGAACCAGCCAAGUCGCGUGAGGGAUGAAGGUUCUAUGGAUCGUAAACCUCUUUUAUAAGGGAAUAAAGUGUGGGACGUGUCCUGUUUUGUAUGUUCCUUAUGAAUAAGGAUCGGCUAACUCCGUGCCAGCAGCCGCGGUAAUCCGGAGGAUCCGAGCGUUAUCCGGAUUUAUUGGGUUUAAAGGGUGCGUAGGCGGCCUUUUAAGUCAGCGGUGAAAGUCUGUGGCUCAACCAUAGAAUUGCCGGUGAAACUGGGAGGCUUGAGUAUGGUUGAGGCAGGCGGAAUGCGUGGUGUAGCGGUGAAAUGCUUAGAUAUCACGCAGAACCCCGAUUGCGAAGGCAGCCUGCCAAGCCAUGACUGACGCUGAUGCACGAAAGCGUGGGGAUCAAACAGGAUUAGAUACCCCGGUAGUC
This 460-nucleotide ribosomal RNA is filed under the name uncultured bacterium. RNAcentral describes it as "partial 16S ribosomal RNA". It matches the Rfam family "Bacterial small subunit ribosomal RNA", at positions 338 to 795 of the family's 1533-position model. The record is from RNAcentral.